AUCCAGACUCCUACGGGAGGCAGCAGUGGGGAAUAUUGCACAAUGGGGGAAGCCCUGAUGCAGCGACGCCGCGUGAGUGAAGAAGUAUUUCGGUAUGUAAAGCCCUAUCGGCAGGGAAGAAAUUGGACGGUACCUGACUAGGAAGCCCUGGCUAACUACGUGCCAGCAGCCGCGGUAAUACGUAGGGGGCAAGCGUUAUCCGGAUUCACUGGGUGUAAAGGGAGCGUAGACGGCCAUGCAAGCCUGGAGUGAAAGCCCGGGGCCCAACCCCGGGACUGCUCUGGGAACUGUGCGGCUGGAGUGCGGGAGGGGCAGGCGGAAUUCCUGGUGUAGCGGUGAAAUGCGUAGAUAUCAGGAGGAACACCGGCGGCGAAGGCGGCCUGCUGGACCGCGACUGACGUUGAGGCUCGAAAGCGUGGGGAGCAAACAGGAUUAGAUACCCGAGUACC
This 449-nucleotide ribosomal RNA is filed under the name uncultured bacterium. Its description in RNAcentral is "bacterial SSU rRNA". It matches the Rfam family "Bacterial small subunit ribosomal RNA", at positions 329 to 794 of the family's 1533-position model. The record is from RNAcentral.